GACGAACGCUGGCGGCGUGCUUAACACAUGCAAGUCGAACGGAAAGGCCCUGCUUUUGUGGGGUGCUCGAGUGGCGAACGGGUGAGUAACACGUGAGUAACCUGCCCUUGACUUUGGGAUAACUUCAGGAAACUGGGGCUAAUACCGGAUAGGAGCUCCUGCUGCAUGGUGGGGGUUGGAAAGUUUCGGCGGUUGGGGAUGGACUCGCGGCUUAUCAGCUUGUUGGUGGGGUAGUGGCUUACCAAGGCUUUGACGGGUAGCCGGCCUGAGAGGGUGACCGGCGACAUUGGGACUGAGAGACGGCCCAGACUCCUACGGGAGGCAGCAGUGGGGAAUAUUGCACAAUGGGCGGAAGCCUGAUGCAGCAGCGCCGCGUGCGGGAUGACGGCCUUCGGGUUGUAAACCGCUUUCGCCUGUGACGAAGCGUGAGUGACGGUAAUGGGUAAAGAAGCACCGGCUAACUACGUG
RNAcentral lists this ribosomal RNA (468 nucleotides) under uncultured bacterium. RNAcentral describes it as "partial 16S ribosomal RNA". It matches the Rfam family "Bacterial small subunit ribosomal RNA", at positions 28 to 507 of the family's 1533-position model. The record is from RNAcentral.